Molecule: ribosomal RNA, 500 nt
Filed under: uncultured bacterium
Lineage: Bacteria
Description: partial 16S ribosomal RNA
Rfam family: Bacterial small subunit ribosomal RNA
Source: RNAcentral
ACUCAAAUGAAUUGACGGGGGCCCGCACAAGCGGUGGAACAUGCGGUUUAAUUCGACGCAACGCGAAGAACCUUACCUACUCUUGACAUCCAUGGGAGCUAGCAGAGAUGUUGGUGUGCCUUCGGGAACCAUGAGACAGGUGCUGCAUGGCUGUCGUCAGCUCGUGUCGUGAGAUGUUGGGUUAAGUCCCGUAACGAGCGCAACCCUUAUCUUUAGUUGCCAGCGGGUAAUGCCGGGAACUCUAGAGAGACUGCCGGUGACAAGCCGGAGGAAGGCGGGGACGACGUCAAGUCAUCAUGGCCCUUACGAGUAGGGCUACACGCGUGUUACAAUGGACGGUACAAAGGGCAGCGAACCCGCGAGGGGGAGCGAAUCUUAUCAAAGCCGUUCGUAGUCCGGAUUGGAGUCUGCAACUCGACUCCAUGAAGUUGGAAUCGCUAGUAAUCGUGGAUCAGAACGCCACGGUGAAUACGUUCUCGGGCCUUGUACACACCGCCCGU